Molecule: transfer RNA, 76 nt
Filed under: Pyrinomonadaceae bacterium
Lineage: Bacteria; Pseudomonadati; Acidobacteriota; Blastocatellia; Blastocatellales; Pyrinomonadaceae
Also listed under: 2 other names
Description: tRNA-Lys
Rfam family: tRNA
About the family: Transfer RNA (tRNA) molecules are approximately 80 nucleotides in length.
Source: RNAcentral
GGGUUGUUAGCUCAGUUGGUAGAGCAACGGACUCUUAAUCCGUGGGUCGCAGGUUCGAUCCCUGCACAGCCUACCA